AGCGAACGCUGGCGGCAGGCCUAACACAUGCAAGUCGAACGAACCCUUCGGGGUUAGUGGCGGACGGGUGAGUAACACGUGGGAACGUGCCUUUAGGUUCGGAAUAACUCAGGGAAACUUGUGCUAAUACCGAAUGUGCCCUUCGGGGGAAAGAUUUAUCGCCUUUAGAGCGGCCCGCGUCUGAUUAGCUAGUUGGUUGAGGUAAUGGCUCACCAAGGCGACGAUCAGUAGCUGGUCUGAGAGGAUGAUUAGCCACAUUGGGACUGAGACACGGCCCAAACUCCUACGGGAGGCAGCAGUGGGGAAUCUUGCGCAAUGGGCGAAAGCCUGACGCAGCCAUGCCGCGUGAAUGAUGAAGGCCUUAGGAUUGUAAAAUUCUUUCACCGGGGACGAUAAUGACGGUACCCGGAGAAGAAGCCCCGGCUAACUUCGUG
This 434-nucleotide ribosomal RNA is filed under the name uncultured bacterium. RNAcentral describes it as "partial 16S ribosomal RNA". It matches the Rfam family "Bacterial small subunit ribosomal RNA", at positions 29 to 507 of the family's 1533-position model. The record is from RNAcentral.